UACGAAGGGUGCGAGCGUUGUUCGGAAUUACUGGGCGUAAAGGGUUCGUAGGCGGGAAGAUAAGUUGAGUGUGAAAACCCCGGGCUUAACCUGGGACGUGCACUCAAAACUGUUUUUCUUGAGUAUCGGAGAGGGUAGCGGAAUUGCUGGUGUAGGAGUGACGUCCGUAGAGAUCAGCAGGAACACCGGAGGCGAAGGCGACUGCCUGGCCGAAUACUGACGCUGAGGAACGAAAGCGUGGGGAGCAAACAGG
This 253-nucleotide ribosomal RNA is filed under the name uncultured bacterium. RNAcentral's name for it is "partial 16S ribosomal RNA". It matches the Rfam family "Bacterial small subunit ribosomal RNA", at positions 524 to 776 of the family's 1533-position model. The record is from RNAcentral.